GUUGAAACACCAGUUUCCAUAUGAUCACCAAAGUUAAGCAAUGUUGAGCCUGAUCAGUACUUAGAUGGUUGACCACUUGGGAAUACCAGGUACU
This is a non-coding RNA of Acanthosepion pharaonis, 94 nucleotides long. Lineage: Eukaryota; Metazoa; Mollusca; Cephalopoda; Sepiida; Sepiidae. The record is from the annotation of a GenBank genome assembly.